UGAGUUUGAUCCUGGCUCAGAAUGAACGCUUGCGAUAGGCGUAACACAUGCAAGUCGAACGUUUUAAAAAACGUGGCGAACGGGUGCGUAACAUGUAGGAAUCUGCCAAAGCAUGAAGGAAAAAUCCUUCUUAAAAGAUCAGUGAUCGUGCUUUGAUGAGCCUGCACAAGAUUAGAUAGUUGGUGUGGUAAUGGCACACCAAGUCGAUGAUCUUUAGCUGAUCUGAGAGGAUGAUUAGCCACACUGGGACUGAGACACGGCCCAGGCUCCCAUGGGAGACAGCAGUGAGGAAUCUUGGACAAUGCACGAAAGUGUGAUCCAGCUAUAUCGCGUGAGUGAUGAAGGGUAUGUAGCUUGUAAAGCUCUUUCAGCAAGAAUAGAUGAAAUUUUCAUCUAAAUCAUAAUGAGAUGUCUUGCAUAAGAAGCCCCGGCAAAUUUCUGUGCCAGCAGCCGCGGUAAUACAGAGGGGGCGAGUGUUAUUCGGAAUAAUUGGGCGUAAAUGGCGUGUAGGUUGUGCUUCGUAGUUGUCGGUUAAAGCCCCACCGUUAUUGUGGGUAUGGCUGAUAGAACGGUUGCACUAGAGACUGAGAGAGGAAAGGGGAAUUUCGGGUGUAAAAGUUAAAUUUUUAGAUAUUCGAAGGAAGACCAAAUGCGAAGGCACCUUUCUGGCUCUGAUCUGACACUGAGGCGCGAAGGCGUGGGGAGCGAAGCCGAUUAGAUACCGGCGUAGUCCACGCAGUCAACCAUGCUGUAUUCCUUUUUGGAAGGCAAAAAAAAAUAAUUUGUGUAUAUAUGCUUCAUCGCAUAUAUACACCUCCGCUGAGUAUUUAUAUGUACCACAAACAUUAUCCAUAUACUGUUUUGUGCGUAAAAAUUGCACAAAGAGUUUAAAAACUGGAACUUUUUGUUAGCAAGAGUUCCAGGCGAGGUAGCUCAGUUGGUUAGAGCACAGGAUUCAUACUUCUGGUGUCGGCAGUUCAACUCUGCCUCUCGUCAAUCGUAUUUUGUGGAUGCCUAAGACGUAUACACACAAUGGGCGCUUGGAAUGCGAAACGUUGUGUCUG
This 1064-nucleotide ribosomal RNA is filed under the name marine metagenome. RNAcentral describes it as "bacterial SSU rRNA". The stretch from base 2 to 797 matches the Rfam family "Bacterial small subunit ribosomal RNA", at positions 9 to 873 of the family's 1533-position model. The record is from RNAcentral.